RNAcentral lists this ribosomal RNA (551 nucleotides) under Aureobasidium leucospermi. RNAcentral describes it as "partial large subunit ribosomal RNA". It matches the Rfam family "Eukaryotic large subunit ribosomal RNA", at positions 69 to 635 of the family's 3401-position model. The record is from RNAcentral. Lineage: Eukaryota; Fungi; Ascomycota; Dothideomycetes; Dothideales; Saccotheciaceae.
CAGGGAUUGCCCUAGUAACGGCGAGUGAAGCGGCAACAGCUCAAAUUUGAAAGCUAGCCUUCGGGUUCGCAUUGUAAUUUGUAGAGGAUGCUUUGGGUAAAACGCCAGUCUAAGUUCCUUGGAACAGGACGUCAUAGAGGGUGAGAAUCCCGUAUGUGACUGGAAAUGUUAACCUAUGUAAAGCUCCUUCGACGAGUCGAGUUGUUUGGGAAUGCAGCUCUAAAUGGGAGGUAAAUUUCUUCUAAAGCUAAAUAUUGGCGAGAGACCGAUAGCGCACAAGUAGAGUGAUCGAAAGAUGAAAAGCACUUUGGAAAGAGAGUUAAAAAGCACGUGAAAUUGUUGAAAGGGAAGCGCUUGCAAUCAGACUUGUUUAAACUGUUCGGCCGGUCUUCUGACCGGUUUACUCAGUUUGGACAGGCCAGCAUCAGUUUCGGCGGCCGGAUAAAGGCAUUGGGAAUGUGGCCUUCACUUCGGUGGAGGUGUUAUAGCCCAGUGUGUAAUACGGCCAGCCGGGACUGAGGUCCGCGCUUCGGCUAGGAUGCUGGCAUAAU